RNAcentral lists this transfer RNA (70 nucleotides) under Onychodactylus zhangyapingi. Its description in RNAcentral is "tRNA-Thr". It matches the Rfam family "tRNA". From Rfam's summary of the family: Transfer RNA (tRNA) molecules are approximately 80 nucleotides in length. The record is from RNAcentral. Lineage: Eukaryota; Metazoa; Chordata; Amphibia; Caudata; Hynobiidae.
UACUUAGAUAGCUUAUUUAAAGCACUGGUCUUGUAAACCAGAAAUGAAAAUUAAAAUUUUCUCCAAGUAU